RNAcentral lists this ribosomal RNA (496 nucleotides) under uncultured bacterium. Its description in RNAcentral is "partial 16S ribosomal RNA". It matches the Rfam family "Bacterial small subunit ribosomal RNA", at positions 28 to 506 of the family's 1533-position model. The record is from RNAcentral.
GAUGAACGCUGGCGGCGUGCCUAAUACAUGCAAGUCGAGCGAACAGAUGAGGAGCUUGCUCCUCUGACGUUAGCGGCGGACGGGUGAGUAACACGUGGAUAACCUACCUAUAAGACUGGGAUAACUUCGGGAAACCGGAGCUAAUACCGGAUAAUAUAUUGAACCGCAUGGUUCAAUAGUGAAAGACGGUUUUGCUGUCACUUAUAGAUGGAUCCGCGCCGCAUUAGCUAGUUGGUAAGGUAACGGCUUACCAAGGCAACGAUGCGUAGCCGACCUGAGAGGGUGAUCGGCCACACUGGAACUGAUACACGGUCCAGACUCCUACGGGAGGCAGCAGUAGGGAAUCUUCCGCAAUGGGCGAAAGCCUGACGGAGCAACGCCGCGUGAGUGAUGAAGGUCUUCGGAUCGUAAAACGCUGUUAUUGGGGAAGAACAAAUGUGUAAGUAACUAUGCACGUCUUGACGGUACCGAAUCAGAAAGCCACGGCUAACUACGU